Molecule: non-coding RNA, 1084 nt
Organism: Ictidomys tridecemlineatus (thirteen-lined ground squirrel)
Lineage: Eukaryota; Metazoa; Chordata; Mammalia; Rodentia; Sciuridae
Source: RefSeq, a predicted model, not a curated record
GAGCGCUCGCCGCCCACCAUGGAGAACUGGUAGGAGCCGGCCGAGGUGCCGUAGUACAGGUGGUAGGACGGCGAGCUGGCCUGGAACGGGCCGCCUUGCGCCUGCGACGAGCCCGGGUAGGGCGGCGGCAGGUGGAUAUUCUUCCAAGAACGACAGAGAAGAUCUGGCUGAGAAACUGGCAGUGGCUCUAAUGACCUGUUCACAAACCCAGCAGUGGUAUUGGCUCUGUCAGCCCAGGCAGCCUACUGCUUUUCCAGACUUGAAGUUUGCAACAUUUGAAGGGCAGAUUUUUUUAGGCUGCAGUCACUGCUGGGGAACAGGGAGACUUGAAUGGUGAUUGCCACAGAGUAGCCGAGGCACAUAAGACUGGACAGAGGCACAGCACCCUGGUGACCCACCAGCAUCACCAGUGACGACAGUGACAGCAACAAGAGCUCAACAGAAUUACACGACUCUGUUCUUCAGGUGUACAGUCUCCACGAAUACCUGACAGAAGGAUAUCUCAAUCAGACGGAGAAGGCAAGCGUGUCUCAUUGAUAACUGAAGUGGCUUUUUCAACACACCAUUGUGAUCUGUGGUGCAGAAAAACUAGGAAGGUGUGGAUGCAAAUCACCAGCAUGAUGAGCAGUUGGGAAAAAUCUAUGUGAAAUGAUAACACUAAAGAGAUCUCUGUGUGCUCACGAGUGUGUGUACAAAGUUGCAGGUGUCCUGAAAGAACAGAUGGACUUCUCACUCUCAUUUUAAAAGGACACCUGCAUUUCAACAGAUGUUUGCCGAUGAACCUGACUCUAGAUUUAAAAACUUGGAAUUUUUCCUUUCUUACUGCAGUUAUAUGACUGGGGAGCAGAAACUGAUCCAUGUAGAGACAGCUCACCUUGCCUGUGUAACAGUUUAAACUCCAGGCUUCAGGGCCACUGGGGUUUUCAAGUGACAGUACUGAAUGUGAAUGUAAUCCCUCCUUAAAGCCUCUUAACAAGUGAGAUGUUACCCUGCCUGACAGCAAACCCAGCCUUCUUCCAGCUUGUGUAAUUUGGGAAACUUUGUCCAAUACUAUAUAUCAUUUACAUAUUACACAUACAAUAUA